RNAcentral lists this ribosomal RNA (377 nucleotides) under uncultured bacterium. Its description in RNAcentral is "bacterial SSU rRNA". It matches the Rfam family "Bacterial small subunit ribosomal RNA", at positions 521 to 896 of the family's 1533-position model. The record is from RNAcentral.
UAAGACAGGGGGUGCAAGCGUUGCUCGGAAUCACUGGGCGUAAAGCGCGCGUAGGCGGUCUCGUAAGUCGGGUGUGAAAGCCCUCAGCCUAACUGAGGAACUGCGCCCGAUACUGCGAGGCUAGAGGAUGGGAGGGGAGAGUGGAAUUCCUGGUGGAGCGGUGAAAUGCGUAGAUAUCAGGAGGAACACCAGUGGCGAAGGCGACUCUCUGGUCCAUUCCUGACGCUGAGGUGCGAAAGCUAGGGGAGCAAACGGGAUUAGAUACCCCGGUAGUCCUAGCUGUAAACGAUGGGCACUGGGUAGAGGGACUCUUAUGGUUCUCUCUGCCGGAGCUAACGCGUUAAGUGCCCCGCCUGGGGAGUAUGCUCGCAAGGGUA